This 73-nucleotide transfer RNA is filed under the name Ailuropoda melanoleuca (giant panda). It matches the Rfam family "tRNA". Rfam says of the family: Transfer RNA (tRNA) molecules are approximately 80 nucleotides in length. Their secondary structure includes four short double-helical elements and three loops (D, anti-codon, and T loops). Lineage: Eukaryota; Metazoa; Chordata; Mammalia; Carnivora; Ursidae. The record is from Rfam by way of RNAcentral.
GCCUGGCUGGCUCAGUCAGUGGAGCACGUGACUCUUGAUCUUGACAUUGUGAGUUCGAACCCCACGUUGGGGG